CCUACGGGUGGCUGCAGUGGGGAAUAUUGGACAAUGGGCGAAAGCCUGAUCCAGCCAUGCCGCGUGUGUGAAGAAGACCUUCGGGUUGUAAAGCACUUUCAGUGGGGAAGAAAGCCUUGGGGCUAAUACCCUCGAGGAAGGACAUCACCCACAGAAGAAGCACCGGCUAACUCCGUGCCAGCAGCCGCGGUAAUACGGAGGGUGCGAGCGUUAAUCGGAAUUACUGGGCGUAAAGCGCGCGUAGGCGGUCUGAUAAGCCGGUUGUGAAAGCCCCGGGCUCAACCUGGGAACGGCAUCCGGAACUGUCAGGCUAGAGUGCAGGAGAGGAAGGGAGAAUUCCCGGUGUAGCGGUGAAAUGCGUAGAGAUCGGGAGGAAUACCAGUGGCGAAGGCGGCCUUCUGGACUGACACUGACGCUGAGGUGCGAAAGCGUGGGUAGCAAACAGGAUUAGAUACCCCGGUAGUC
RNAcentral lists this ribosomal RNA (465 nucleotides) under Vreelandella stevensii. Its description in RNAcentral is "partial 16S ribosomal RNA". It matches the Rfam family "Bacterial small subunit ribosomal RNA", at positions 338 to 795 of the family's 1533-position model. Lineage: Bacteria; Pseudomonadati; Pseudomonadota; Gammaproteobacteria; Oceanospirillales; Halomonadaceae. The record is from RNAcentral.